UGGGGAAUAUUGCACAAUGGGCGCAAGCCUGAUGCAGCCAUGCCGCGUGUAUGAAGAAGGCCUUCGGGUUGUAAAGUACUUUCAGUCGGGAGGAAGGUGGUAAGGUUAAUAACCUUAUCAAUUGACGUUACCGACAGAAGAAGCACCGGCUAACUCCGUGCCAGCAGCCGCGGUAAUACGGAGGGUGCAAGCGUUAAUCGGAAUUACUGGGCGUAAAGCGCACGCAGGCGGUUGAUUGAGUCAGAUGUGAAAUCCCCGGGCUUAACCCGGGAAUUGCAUCUGAUACUGGUCAGCUAGAGUCUUGUAGAGGGGGGUAGAAUUCCAUGUGUAGCGGUGAAAUGCGUAGAGAUGUGGAGGAAUACCGGUGGCGAAGGCGGCCCCCUGGACAAAGACUGACGCUCAGGUGCGAAAGCGUGGGUAGCAAACAGG
This 429-nucleotide ribosomal RNA is filed under the name Chloroflexota bacterium. RNAcentral describes it as "Chloroflexi bacterium partial 16S ribosomal RNA". It matches the Rfam family "Bacterial small subunit ribosomal RNA", at positions 355 to 776 of the family's 1533-position model. Lineage: Bacteria; Bacillati; Chloroflexota. The record is from RNAcentral.